Mumia flava is the source of this 149-nucleotide non-coding RNA. The record is from Rfam. NCBI's taxonomy places the organism in Bacteria, Bacillati, Actinomycetota, Actinomycetes, Propionibacteriales, Nocardioidaceae.
GUGCGUCUUCAGGGCGGGGUGAAAUUCCCCACCGGCGGUAGGCUGGCGUAAGCCGGCGAGCCCGCGAGCGCCCGCGCAUCCGCGCGGGGUCAGCAGAUCUGGUCGAAUGCCAGAGCCGACGGUCACAGUCCGGAUGAGAGAAGAUGUGC